This is a long non-coding RNA of Balaenoptera ricei (Rice's whale), 1799 nucleotides long. RefSeq lists it as uncharacterized. The record is from RefSeq and is a predicted model, not a curated record. NCBI's taxonomy places the organism in Eukaryota, Metazoa, Chordata, Mammalia, Artiodactyla, Balaenopteridae. The transcript is spliced from 5 exons.
CACCGCCCUCCGGGCCGCCAGCGCGCGUGCGCACCUUCCGGCCCCACCCCCGCCCCGCGCAGGUGUGGCGUCCCCCGAGACCAGCCUCGCCGACCCUGCCGCCCGGCCCGCGGCUCCACCCCGGCGUCACUCAGGCCUGCGCCGUCUACCUGGGAAGGGACGGGGCCUGUCGGGGGCUUGACGGUGGCGUGGAAGCCCAGCUGCUGAGAGGCCGAGCAGAGCGCCCCAGGCCCGGCACCCGGGCUGGCCCGGCCCCGCCACGUCCGAGGCUCCCGCCCCCCGGAGGAAGCCGCGCGAGCACUCGGGGGGCGGGGAGAGAAAGACUGCUGAAGGGAAGGAGGUGCCACCAGGCACUCUCUCGCGAGAGGGCCGAAGAGCCGGGGGCGUGUGCCUGCUGAGGACGUUUUCCUGUUACAAAACCAGAACAUGGCUUGGAAAAUCCUAAUUGUUUACCUGUGACAUUAUUUCCAUGAAGAGUAAUCAUCCCAGAAACUAUUAGAGGGCCUUGGAAUAUAUUCAUCUGACCUAUUCUACCUAUCCCAUUUAAAGGACAGCAUCUGAAGAUUUAAUAACAAAAAGCAAUUGAAGCAUUCCAAGCUGGAUAAUCAGGUUGAUUUUGAUGAUGAAAAUCGUCCAACUUUUGCUAAUCAAGUUAGGGGCAUAUAUAAUGUCUUCAAUUAUUGCAUUUCCAGAUUAAUGGACAGCAGAUUUCCAGUUUUUUAAUUAUGAUGUGCUGACACCUGGGAAAGACACUGUACAACAAUGCAAGUGGCCCUUUCUUUUUUCUUUCAAAGGAUGGCAUCGCUUCAGAGGCCAACUGGAUAAACCAAGAGGCUGGAACGCUUAGACCCUCCCUCCUACAACACACAGCCUCCCUUCCCUUCUGCCCAUGUUUACGGCACCCGAAGAGGGGCGUGUCCUGACGGAGGCGGCAGCGCCAAACAGGCCGCGUGGUUAACCUAGAGUGCGCAACAGGUAAUCCUCUGGUUAUCAGAGUGACGGCACUCUUCUCCAGAGCGACCUGCACACUGCCGACAUCCGCCUCGCAAGAUGCACUGAAAGCUGCAAGUGCAGCUCAACAGAGAGGAAUAACCUUUUCCAGAAAUGCUUUAUUGCUACAAGUUGUGAGGUCGCCAACCAUCAACAUUGGAACAAAACUUAAGGUUUCAGCCCCCCCACGGGGCAGCACAGCCACUCCAUGGGGCUGUUUUUAAUGUAAGUUUGGCAGUGGACCCAGCAAAGUUCAGAUGACAGCAGAAUGGUAUCAAGAAACCUUGCCUGAAACCGAAAGAGGUGGAGCAUGAGCUAGAAGAGGAAGACUACCUUCCAUCUGAAAGAUCAGUCUUCCUUUGAAUUCUCUCGGUUAAGAGUAACGUCAAAAUUUAAGGCUGGUAGUUACUACGACAAGGAUAUACGUGAUCUGGUAAGAAAAUCCAACACUUCACUUUUAAACUUUUUCCAAACAGAUGCUACACAUGGCAACUGAAAUAUUCCUAGAAAUGGUGUAGAAGAGAGACUUCCCUGAAUUUAUCGCAACCUACCUGAAUCUAGACCACACUUCUCUGGCCUCUUCUUAAAAUCACAUCUUUCGUUUCACAGCUCUAACAGCAAUAUACCACGGAGUACAGACAACACUGUGAAAAACAAGGGCUUGAUGAAACCCACAGAAAAGCUAUGCACUAAUAUCGGGACUACUUUUAGUCAUGCUAUUAGAUCACUUUAUUCUUGUGCACAAUAAAUAGAUACAGAAAAAUGUUGAAAAUGUUAUGACUCAACUAUCUAAUUAAAGCUGAGAAAAA